CGAGGGGCUGGCUCGGACGCCAGGCUGGCAUGGUUGUCAGCCUGCCUAAGCAAGGAACAUGGUGCAGGCAGAGCCGGCCUGGUCUGAGAAAAAGGGCUGCCUCCGACUACCAUUGCGGGCCUCGAAAAGUCUCCCCCAAAGGGCCUCCUGGGGCCGUCUCCGUGGUCGGCUCCCCCUGGAGGAGGAGGCGAUCGGAGACUGUGAGGUGGGCGCUGAAAACGGCUCUUCGGACUUCAUUCCCGAAAACGGCUCUGCGCAGGAAUCGGGUCCCAGAGGCUUGGGAAUGCAGUCUGGUGAGUCGUUGAGGGCUCUCCGGCUGAUGGAUGAAUACCUGAGACCCCAGAGGAGGGUUGCGGGGCCCUUGAGCUCACUGCCUCCCUUCAUCCUGGGCUGUUUAGGGGCUCCUGCUUCUCAGCACGGCAGUUGGAGAGAAGCGGGAACCACGACCAAGGGAAGGACACGGUGGAGAAGGGGUCUCACCCCAGGAACUGGCAUCCCACGGGGGCGCGUGAGGUGGAGAGAGGGUCUCAGAGGCCGUCUGCGGCGAUUGCAAGAUUGAAGUGGUUGUCCACCAGUGCUGUUGAGGGGCACUGUGGAUCCCCCGUGAGAGCAAGACAAAAGCAAGGCCCGCCUGGGAGAAAGAGAAGGUUUGUGCUGGAGUCCAAGUCAAGAUCACGGAUUCUUGCCAGAGGAAUCAAGAGCCUCCAGCAGAGUGCAGACAAACCUGGGCCCUACAAAGAGACCACGACCCACGACCUGGACUGAAGUCAGCCCACUCCAAGAGCCUUGUGCCCCCUGAAGUUCCUGGCAGCCCAAAGAUCCGAGAGGCCGUUCCACCCAGCAACAGCCCCUCCACGAGGACAAUGGACGCGCAGAUGAAAUGAACCUAGAUUACCAGGCGAUAGCCAGACGUGGUUGCCCGCUUCUCAUCCUACAGGAAUCAUGCAGCACCUCUGAGAGAACUGGGAGGACCAGAGUUUCCUUGUUGGCAGAUGUAACCGGAAUUCACUGUUCCAAAAGGAUCACAGCAGUCGAGUCCUUGCACGGUGACGGUAUUGAGAAGGAAACACUCGUACAAAAGUCCCCAUGAGAGUCGUCCUCCGUGAACAGGGAAACGUUGACUGUGGAAGUCUUUGAGCCAGACCCAGGAAACCCUAGGCCCAGGAGAAGCGUGGGAGUCAUGAAAAGACGAGGCCGGUAUGCAGGCCACAUCCCAGCCAGCCUCAGUGCAUCCCACUCCCAUGUGUUUCCCCGAAUGACAGCCGAAAUCGAAAGCUGGCCCGAAUGGCCCGGGACUGUGCUGCAACUGAUCCCCAGCACGUUGGAGUCCUCCCACAUGGGCACCGGGCCAGGGUGCGGACCGCUAGUGCGACCGAGGGAACGCGGCGGUGGAGUCAGAAGUACCUUCCGUCUUCAUCUGGAAGCACCUGUUUAGCAGAAGAAGCUGGGGGACCUCAUGCACGCCUCACCAGAUUGCAUCCUUACCCCAUCUGAGCUAACUGCUGCCCACUCUCUCAGUCCCCGGAAUGAAAUCCCAAGACGAUGGAGGAGUGCCCGCCUCAUGACCUCACGACGUGAAGCGGCUGCUCGGCUAGGAACCGAAUUCGAGGGGGAUUCGAGGAGCCCUGCACACAGGACUGCUAGAAGCUGGACCGGCUUGGCCACAGGAAAAUGAGGCACUGGGAGGUUUCUGUUCUCGGGUGUGGUGUGCUCCUCUUUCUUGUUAGCAGACUUGCUGUUUUGCGGGGGGGGAGGUGCUUAGGGCUCCCCCGAGUCUCAGCCAGUCCCACAGUUCACCCCGGAUUCAGGAACCACGGAAAACAAUAAAGGACACGGAGCCCCGGAACCCAAGAAGAACCUCACAGAGAGGCGGACCAGAAGGUCGGUGGACUCGGGAGUGGGAGGGGGUACAUGAAAAGAAAAAAA
This 1926-nucleotide long non-coding RNA is filed under the name Macaca fascicularis (crab-eating macaque). RNAcentral describes it as "lncRNA (ENSMFAG00000052860.1)". The record is from RNAcentral. Lineage: Eukaryota; Metazoa; Chordata; Mammalia; Primates; Cercopithecidae.